Molecule: ribosomal RNA, 253 nt
Filed under: uncultured bacterium
Lineage: Bacteria
Description: partial 16S ribosomal RNA
Rfam family: Bacterial small subunit ribosomal RNA
Source: RNAcentral
UACGGAGGGUGCAAGCGUUAUCCGGAUUCACUGGGUUUAAAGGGUGCGUAGGUGGUCAAGUAAGUCAGUGGUGAAAUCUCCGGGCUUAACCCGGAGACUGCCAUUGAUACUAUUUGUCUUGAAUACUGUGGAGGUCAGCGGAAUAUGUCAUGUAGCGGUGAAAUGCUUAGAUAUGACAUAGAACACCAAUUGCGAAGGCAGCUGGCUACACAAAUAUUGACACUGAGGCACGAAAGCGUGGGGAUCAAACAGG